ACCAGGAGUCAUCACAAAACCAACAGUGUGAGACUUGCUUGAGUGAGAGAAAGCAAGGGGAGGGAGAAUUCCAUAACCAUUACCAAAAUAAAUCCCACAUUUGAAACAACUUUCCCAGAAAGUCAGUUAACUCCCCAGGGCUUGUCCCAGAGUCUGGAGCACAUGACCUUUACUCUACCAACAUGUUCUUUGCCCUCUGACUUCCCUCUGGUGGGGCGUUUGCAAGAGAAUUGGGCGACUCGGCCUCAGCCUGAAAUAACCUCUGGCACUCCAGGAUCACAGGGAGCCUGGAGCCUGUCCAAGGAAACCCGGGGCACAAGUCAGGGGACACCCUGGAUGGGGUGCAAACCCAUCACAAGCACAAUCACUACUAAUGCCAACCAGCCUACAAUGCCUACAAUGUCUUUGGACUGAGGGGGGAAAGAGGAGUAAUCAGAGGAAACCCCCAAAACACAAGGACAACUCCGCUCACACAGAGCAGAGAAGCAGACAGAGAUGAUGACAGCUCCGGAGAUGACUCUCCCUGGCCACGCUGCACCUUCAGCCAAUACCCUCUGGCAGUGCCAUGCUGUCUGGGUCUGCCUCGAGCCUGCUCCAGCCCGCCCGCCACUCCCCACUAUGGGAAGACAACACUACGAACAGCCUCCACUAAAUUACCUGAUGCCCUCACCUUCCCCCUUUCUCCACUUAUAA
This is a long non-coding RNA of Ictalurus punctatus (channel catfish), 693 nucleotides long. RefSeq lists it as uncharacterized. NCBI's taxonomy places the organism in Eukaryota, Metazoa, Chordata, Actinopteri, Siluriformes, Ictaluridae. The record is from RefSeq and is a predicted model, not a curated record. The transcript is spliced from 3 exons.